RNAcentral lists this ribosomal RNA (792 nucleotides) under uncultured archaeon. RNAcentral describes it as "bacterial SSU rRNA". It matches the Rfam family "Archaeal small subunit ribosomal RNA", at positions 85 to 879 of the family's 1478-position model. The record is from RNAcentral.
AAGGCUCAGUAACACGUGGGUAACCUACCCUAUGCUGGGGGAUAAGCUCGGGAAACUGAGAAUAAUACCCCAUAGUCCACUACGCCUGGAACGGUGAGUGGAUCAAAGCUCCGGCGGCAUAGGAUGGGCCUGCGGCGUAUCAGGUUGUAGGGGGUGUAACGUACCCUCUAGCCAUCCACGCGUACGGGUGUUGGGAGACAUUGCCCGGAGAUGGAUUCUGAGACACGAAUCCAGACCCUACGGGGUGCAGCAGGCGCGAAAACUUGGCAAUGCGAGAAAUCGUGACCAGGGAACUCCAAGUGGCAGGGGUAAGACCCUGUCUUUUUCCGACUCUAAAUAGGUCGGCGAAUAAGGGGUGGGUAAGGACGGUGCCAGCCGCCGCGGUAAUACCGGCGCCUCAAGUGGUAGUCGCUUUUAUUGGGCCUAAAACGUCCGUAGCCGGUCUGGUACAUUCGUGGGUAAAUCAACUCGCUUAACGAGUUGAAUUCUGCGAGGACGGCCAGACUUGGGACCGGGAGAGGUGUGGGGUACUCUCAGGGUAGGGGUAAAAUCCUGUCAUCCUGAGAGGACCACCUGUUGCGAAGGCUCCACACUAGAACGGAUCCGACGGUCAGGGACGAAGCCUAGGGGCACGAACCGGAUUAGAUACCCGGGUAGUCCUAGGUGUAAACGCUGUGGACUUGAUGUUGGGGACGCUCCGAGCGUUCUCAGUGUCGAAGCGAAGGUGAUAAGUCCACUGCCUGGGGAGUACGGUCGCAAGGCUGAAACUUAAAGGAAUUGGCGGGGGAGCAC